Vidua chalybeata is the source of this 254-nucleotide long non-coding RNA. RefSeq lists it as uncharacterized. The transcript has 2 exons. The record is from RefSeq and is a predicted model, not a curated record. Lineage: Eukaryota; Metazoa; Chordata; Aves; Passeriformes; Viduidae.
GUUCAGUAAGGACUGUCUCCCAUAGGUGGGAACCUACACUGGAACAGGGAAUGUAAAGUUUCCUUUGCAACCUUAGUGAAGAUCAUGAUUUCUCUGAUAGAAGAGUCACAACAGUCACAGGCCUCCUCUACUGGUGUAAGAUCAAGCCACAGAACUGCUUUAACACAAAUUCUCUAGCCUAAUCUUAUAUGAGAGCAAGCACUACCUUGCAUGUUGCAUGAAAAUUUGUAAGACUAAAAAAUGCUAUUACAUUA